Molecule: long non-coding RNA, 92 nt
Organism: Thalassophryne amazonica
Lineage: Eukaryota; Metazoa; Chordata; Actinopteri; Batrachoidiformes; Batrachoididae
Exons: 3
Source: RefSeq, a predicted model, not a curated record
AAAAAACUCCUUGUGUCUUUUUUAAUGUUAGAAUGACCAGAGCAGAUGGCCACCCCUCUGAGUCUGGUCUGCUUCAGGUUUCUUCCUGUAAU